GGGGAAACCUCCGGCUGAGGAGAAAAUUUCGGUUGCAUCCCAGUCCAGUUGGCUCUAUCAAGCCAGCAUAAGUCUGCUCCAUCAAAUCUCUGGAAAUAAACGAACUUGUUUAUCAGCAGUCUCGGGAUACAGCCUGGAAAUGCUGUUAAAGAGAAUGAGUGUCUGACAGGGCAGCUGAAGGAGAAUGUCAAGAAGACAUAAUUUUUAAGAUGAAGUCUAAGACUGAAGACUUAUAGCCAGAAAUGAUUUUGAGCCAAGGAGGCCACAAAGAGAAGAAAUUUUGAAAGAUACCAAUCUCGCUGCCAAACUGGGAAUGAAAGAUUUGGAUGCAGGGGAUCCCAGAGUGAUGACUGCUUAGACAAGAAGGGGAAGGGUGGAAGAUGCUGCAGUACAACUAGAACCUGGAAACUGGAGUGGCAAAGAAAGAAGGCUAUUUGCAAAGUAGAGGAGAAAAAGAAGUUGAGAGGACAAAAAUAAUGACUGAGUUUUCCAUUUGGAUAAAGCUUCAUGCGUUUCUCAUCUGCCAGCUGAAAAUUGCAAACAAGAAAAUUCUGUUCGUUGGAGCAGUUCCUGGAGAGGAGGAAUAGUUUCAGUUGAUCAAAAGAGUUUAUAGCGCCUGAUGGUUUUUACUUUGAACUUUAAGAAUCAAAAAUUUAUUUGUGUAAAGGAGUUUUGCUGAUUAUUCAGUUCAAUUAUAUACUACUGACUCCAGGAAAAUGUGUGACAAUAAAUAUAUUCUAAUGGUCUCAUU
Molecule: non-coding RNA, 751 nt
Organism: Vicugna pacos (alpaca)
Lineage: Eukaryota; Metazoa; Chordata; Mammalia; Artiodactyla; Camelidae
Source: RefSeq, a predicted model, not a curated record